ACCGGCAGCUCAAGUGGUAGCCGCGAUUAUUGGGCCUAAAGCGUUCGUAGCCGGAUAAGUAAGUCUUUGGUUAAAUCCUGCAACUUAACUGUGGGAAAUCUAGGGAUACUGCUUGUCUUGAGACCGGGAGAGGUUAGAGGUACUCCUAGGGUAGGGGUGGAAUGCUUUGAGCUCAGAGGGACCACCUGUGGCGAAGGCGGCUACCUGGACCAGUACUGACGGUGAGGCACGAAACCGUGGGGAGCGAGCCG
Molecule: ribosomal RNA, 251 nt
Filed under: uncultured prokaryote
Description: partial 16S rRNA
Rfam family: Archaeal small subunit ribosomal RNA
Source: RNAcentral